AGAGUUUGAUCCUGGCUCAGGACGAACGCUGGCGGCGCACCUAAGACAUGCAAGUCGAACGGUCUCUUUCUUCGGGAGGGGAUAGUGGCGGACGGGUGAGUAACACAUAAGGGACCUGCCCUGGCGUGGGGGAUAGCCUGGGGAAACCGAGGGUAAGCCCGCAUACGCUCCCUGGCAUAGCGGCCGGGGAGGAAAUCCUUCUCAUUGAGGAGGAGCGCGAGGAGGGCCUUGUGGCGGAUUAGCUAGUUGGGGGGGUAGUGGCCCACCAAGGCGACGAUCCGUCGCUGGUCUGAGAGGAUGACCAGCCACACCGGGACUGAGACACGGCCCGGACUCCUACGGGAGGCAGCAGUUAGGGAAUUUUCCCAAUGGGCGCAAGCCUGAGGGAGUGACGCCGCGUGCGGGAGGAAGGCCUUCGGGUCGUAAACCGCCUUUCGGGGGGACGAGAUGGACGGUACCCCCGGAAGAAGCCCCGGCUAACUACGUGCCAGCAGCCGCGGUAAUACGUAGGGGGCGAGCGUUGUCCGGAUUUAUUGGGCGUAAAGAGCGCGUAGGCGGCGCGGAGCAUCCGGCGUGAAAUCUCCCCGCUCAACGGGGAGGGGUCGGCGGAGAUGGCCGUGCUAGAGGACGGUAGAGGCAGCGGGAAGUCCCGAAGUAGUGGUGAAAUGCGUAGAGAUCGGGAGGAACACCAGAGGCGAAGGCGCGCUGCUGGGCCGGACCUGACGCUGAGGCGCGACAGCCAGGGGAGCGAACGGAAUUAGAUACUCCGGUAGUCC
This 776-nucleotide ribosomal RNA is filed under the name uncultured bacterium. RNAcentral describes it as "bacterial SSU rRNA". It matches the Rfam family "Bacterial small subunit ribosomal RNA", at positions 8 to 796 of the family's 1533-position model. The record is from RNAcentral.